This 342-nucleotide ribosomal RNA is filed under the name Triticum aestivum (bread wheat). RNAcentral describes it as "partial small subunit ribosomal RNA". The record is from RNAcentral. Lineage: Eukaryota; Viridiplantae; Streptophyta; Magnoliopsida; Poales; Poaceae.
AUGAACUUCUAUUCAUCACUCUUAUUUGAUAAGGACAAGGCAUUUGAGCACCGUCAAAUUCCUCAUGUGGAUAUGGAGUCCCUCCCUUGCUUCCAACUUGUCCUGAAUAUUCUUCAUGACGCUGGGCUCUUGAACUUUUGUGUUGACAUCUGCGACUGGAAUGAAGAGCCAAUUCUUCAAUUCUACGCUACACUGCACCUCACUGGAAAUGUGGCUGAUGUGAAUUCAUGGGUGCUUGAUUGGAUGACUGAGAACACGCACUACAAAGCUCCGGCCUUUGAAUUACUUCAUGCCAUUCCAAUCAGUCCUCCUGCUGAAGGCGCAAGGCUUCUGCAUGAAUAA